GGAGCGCUCGGUGGCCCCCGCCGGGCCCCCGGAGGAGCCGCCGGGCGAGCGCGCGGGCGGGCGCGCGCGUGUCCCGGUUGUGCAGCCCGAGAGUCCUCCCCGCCCGCCCCGCGCGCUCCUCCCUCCCUCCCCGCGUCCCUCCCUCGUGCUCGUCGCCCUGAGUCGCGCGGGUGAGCGGCCGCCACCUCCUCGCCCGCGGGUGCCCGCUCGGCUCGGCCACCAUGGGGAAUGGGAUGAACAAGAUCCUGCCCGGGCUGUACAUCGGCAACUUCAAAGAUGCCAGGGAUGCAGAGCAACUGAGCAAGAACAAAGUGACGCAUAUUUUGUCUGUCCAUGACAGUGCCCGGCCGAUGUUGGAGG
Sorex fumeus (smoky shrew) is the source of this 360-nucleotide long non-coding RNA. RefSeq lists it as uncharacterized. The transcript is spliced from 3 exons. The record is from RefSeq and is a predicted model, not a curated record. Lineage: Eukaryota; Metazoa; Chordata; Mammalia; Eulipotyphla; Soricidae.